This 301-nucleotide ribosomal RNA is filed under the name uncultured bacterium. RNAcentral's name for it is "partial 16S ribosomal RNA". It matches the Rfam family "Bacterial small subunit ribosomal RNA", at positions 509 to 807 of the family's 1533-position model. The record is from RNAcentral.
CAGCAGCCGCGGUAAUACGGAGGGUGCAAGCGUUAUCCGGAAUCAUUGGGUUUAAAGGGUCCGUAGGCGGUCUUGUAAGUCAGUGGUGAAAGCCCAUCGCUCAACGGUGGAACGGCCAUUGAUACUGCAGGACUUGAAUUAUUGGGAAGUAACUAGAAUAUGUAGUGUAGCGGUGAAAUGCUUAGAGAUUACAUGGAAUACCAAUUGCGAAGGCAGGUUACUACCAAUUGAUUGACGCUGAUGGACGAAAGCGUGGGUAGCGAACAGGAUUAGAUACCCGCGUAGUCCCUGUCUCUUAUAC